Molecule: unclassified non-coding RNA, 223 nt
Filed under: Glomeraceae sp.
Lineage: Eukaryota; Fungi; Glomeromycota; Glomeromycetes; Glomerales; Glomeraceae
Description: partial contains 5.8S ribosomal RNA and internal transcribed spacer 2
Rfam family: 5.8S ribosomal RNA (bases 1-71)
Source: RNAcentral
GUGAAUCAUCAAAUCUUUGAACGCAAAUUGCACUCUCUGGUAUUCCGGAGAGUAUGCCUGUUUGAGGGUCAGUUUAAAUAAAAAUCUGCGUGGUUGCUGCCUUUCGUGGUGACGCACCGGAUUGGGGUCGUCUUUCCUUCGGUUAAAGUACCUAAAAUAUUUCAUGAUUUUUUUCGAACGUAUUUAAAUGAUUUGACGUACUUUUGCGAUAGCGAAUACUAGG